GUCACCACAGAUGGCCUAUAGUUUUGUGAUAUUGGUGUCUUCUCUUCUCUAAGAAUAUAUGUGUGGCAAUUCAAUCCUCAAAAAGAAGAUAACGUGACCCUUUUUCCCCCCACUCAAAUACUCAAUUUCCCUUUAAAUAAAAUAAAUAUUUUUAAAAAAAUCCCAUAUUGUUAGUUAAUUAGUUUCCUUGCACUUCAAUGCGAAGCUAUCCAAUUCUGCAAAGGUUUAUUGUUAUUGGGAAACUUAAUAAAGAAAAAUAAGAUAAUUGGGCCUAUCCCUUUAUCCUCUACAGUUGGGCAACAUUUAGUUUGAAAACACAUGGCUUUGAGAAAAUGGAUAACUCAUAACCGAUUCAUAUACACAAACACAUGCAACUAUAAGCUCCUUACAAGAGAAAGAGUGAAAGGCAUGCAUGCAUAUAUGCCCUUUUGGAGAAUUUGAAAGGUUAGAGAAGCCACUCGUAUAUAUCAUCUUUGAGACGUGGAGGUGGACCCCAUUUCCGAUUGAUGAUCCCAAAUGACAAUGACUCAUAUAUGGUUGGACCCCUUAGCACCAAUUCCAUAGAAGAAGUGGAAAUUUCAAGAUGUCAAUUUCAUAGCUGAACAUUUCUUUUUUGGGGUAAUAUAAUAACAUGGGUUUGGCCCCAUAUAUAUUGGUAAGGAUUUUACUUUAAUUAGUGCAUAAUGUAAAUAAAUAAUAAUAAUGGGAUUGAAUUCUAAGUUAGCAAACUUCAUUAUUCAAAGCAUUCAAAUUUUAAAAAAUAUAUCUUCGACUUGAAGAGAAACUCAAAACAAAAAUGUGUUGGUUACGAACUAAUAAAAAAGUAAAAAUGGUGAAAUAUAAUUUCAGCAUUAUG
Cannabis sativa is the source of this 856-nucleotide long non-coding RNA. RefSeq lists it as uncharacterized. The record is from RefSeq and is a predicted model, not a curated record. Lineage: Eukaryota; Viridiplantae; Streptophyta; Magnoliopsida; Rosales; Cannabaceae. The transcript is spliced from 2 exons.